UACGAGGGGUGCAAGCGUUGCUCGGAAUUACUGGGCGUAAAGGGCGCGUAGGCGGCCUUCUAAGUCAGACGUGAAAUCCCCCGGCUUAACCUGGGAACUGCGUCUGAUACUGGGAGGCUUGAGUAUGGGAGAGGGAUGUAGAAUUCCAGGUGUAGCGGUGAAAUGCGUAGAUAUCUGGAGGAAUACCGGUGGCGAAGGCGGCAUCCUGGACCAUAACUGACGCUGAGGCGCGAAAGCUAGGGGAGCAAACGGG
Molecule: ribosomal RNA, 253 nt
Filed under: uncultured bacterium
Lineage: Bacteria
Description: partial 16S ribosomal RNA
Rfam family: Bacterial small subunit ribosomal RNA
Source: RNAcentral